This 138-nucleotide small nucleolar RNA is filed under the name Ornithorhynchus anatinus (platypus). Lineage: Eukaryota; Metazoa; Chordata; Mammalia; Monotremata; Ornithorhynchidae. The record is from RNAcentral.
CCCCUCUCAGGAUCACACCUGGAGAGUUUCCAGUACUCUUCCAGUCUCGGCUCCGGGAGGAAGAGUUAAGCAGAGGCAUAUCCAUUCCAUUCCUAGCUUGGGCAGUGGCUAGCGAGUGGAAGGCAGUCUGCUUCAUGU